Long non-coding RNA from Drosophila innubila, 1696 nucleotides. RefSeq lists it as uncharacterized. The transcript is spliced from 2 exons. The record is from RefSeq and is a predicted model, not a curated record. Lineage: Eukaryota; Metazoa; Arthropoda; Insecta; Diptera; Drosophilidae.
CAUAGAACAUACUUGGUUCUAAAGUAAACAACAUAAUAAGCUUGUACAGUACAAUGCCGUCUGUAGCAGAAUUUUACUUUAAAGAGGGAUUGGCCCACACGGAGGAUCAUGUGUUGGUGAAGAAUCUGUUUCUUACUAAUAUCAAAGAAAGUCUGGAGCAGCAGCAGAUUCAAAAGUAUUUCGAGACAUUUGGAUGCUUUGACUUCUUGCAUCUGUUUCCGAGUGGAAGUAUAAAAAGAAUAAGAACUGGCUAACGUUGUUUUCGAGAAUCCUCGUCAUGCUGCCAAUGCAUUGAAGAGACAGUUCCACUAUUUCAAGAGAUGCCGUAAACCAGUUCGGCCAAGUUAUAGUUGGCUUCAACCAUAUGCCGAGAAAAUGCCGAAUAAACCGGAUAAUGUUUAUCCCAAUGAUCCCAAACCCGAUGCCAUUUAAAACUAAACUAUCAAUGCCUAGAGCAUAUAUUCCAAAAAUUAUCACAAUCUGAUCGCAUUCACUUUGCACGCACCUGUUUUCGUUUCCGAUACAUUAAUGAGGGAAUGUCGACGUCGCUGGACAAAUCUUUCAGCUUUGAUUUAUUUAAAGAAAUGACUGUGUUGGAGUUGCAAGAUUUUUUUCAACUUUCCGGACGCAAUGUAAAGAAAAUCGAAGGUGAAAUACCGAAGCAUCACUGUGACCCCGUCUGCAACUUUCUUGGAAAGCAUUCCAUUAAUUUACAGUCAAUGAUAAUCAAGGACACCAGACUUACAUCGGCAAACAUAUUUAAAAUGUUCGCAAACCUAAAUAGUCUUCGAAACCUGAAAUUAACUAGAUGCAAUCUCAGAAAUGAGGAUCUACAAGCGCUCGAGCAUUUGAUCGAGCUUAAGAAACUGGAUUUAUCCCAUAAUAAUAUGUUAAGUGCAAAGAGCUUGAAUUGUUUGCCAUAGUCUAUUGAGUCGCUGACUCUAAAAGACUGCGAUAUGAGACGACACCCGGAAUUGUUGAUCAAAAUAUUUGGGAGGUUCCCGCUGCUUAAGGAAUUAUACAUACCAAGCUUUAUUCUCGGAUUUCCGUGUAUCGAGCAGCUAAUUAGUGACAAUUGCUGUAAAUUUUUGGAAUAUUGUCUCCAUUAACUGCAACGAGGACGAGAUUGAUGAUUAUUGUCAUAUUGCAAGGCUACCAAGCCUUAAGAAACUAAUGUUGGUUAUUCGUUGGUAUGGAAAAGCAAUGCCUCCAAAGCUUAUGACAUGGCUGGUGAAGUAUAAGUCCAAGCAGUUGGAGCAUUUUGAUAUAAAUGCAAUGUAUGGAAGCUUUAUCAAUGCCGAGAUCCUUCAGAUGAUUGGAAAUCUUAGAGCAUUGCAUACGUUUAGUUUGCCAAACAGCGAUGCGAUCACCGAUCGUGGAUUACAAGCACUGUUAACUUUGCAGGAUUUAACAGAUAUUAAACUCAAUUUUAAUAGGAAAAUUACGGAAAAUGGUGUACUCCGACCGAUCCUUGCCUGUCCCAAGCUGCAAGUGUUACAUCUGUUAAAUUGUGAUCAACUAACCAACAAUAUUGUUAAACCUAAAAAACAAUCAUCAUAAUCGUAUGCUUCCUUUUAAACUUUUUAUGUUCGGCACCAAAGUCAAUAAAUCUACACUACAAAAUGCGGAUGUGGCUGCCAGGAAUAUAAUCGUUGUGGUAUUACAAUUAAAUUUUCAAAUAUAUACAUUUUAAUAU